UCUUCCUUCAACAUUGAAAAAGGAAAAUACAAAAGAAGAAGCAGCAUUUAUUUUUCCUAUAAAGUUGUAUUCAACUAUAUCGGUGCUGUAUCUUUGGCUCUUUAUCCUUGAUAUGUUGGGGUAACAUUGCACCAUUUUAACAAUUCAACAUAUGUGCCUUGUCGUGCCAUUUCCCAUCUGUUGAGAAAUCCACGUCCUAUAUGUUGCCAAAUCUAGUUUCCAACAUGUUUCCUGUAUGUGGCAGUUGUCGAUUUUGUUGUUGCAUUAUGCAUAUUUUGUUAUGAAUACAGAUUAUAGUUAUUGAGAAUGGAAAAGUAGUAGAACAAGGACCACAUGAGGUUCUCUUAUCGAAGGCUGGGAGAUAUGCACAACUUUGGGCACAGCAGAAUUCAACUGUUGAUUCCAUCGAUGCCUCCAUCAAACUAGAGGCAUAAAUACCUCACUCAGGUCCCUUCCUCUCAGCAAAAAAAUUUUUCGGCCUCUGUAGCAAUUGAAUGUGCAACGUUUAUUAUAAUGUCUAUCCAUAAUUUGCAAAGAUUUCAAAUGUGGAUGUCAUUGACUAUUAUUAUUAUUAUUUUUUU
Olea europaea var. sylvestris is the source of this 581-nucleotide long non-coding RNA. RefSeq lists it as uncharacterized. The transcript has 2 exons. The record is from RefSeq and is a predicted model, not a curated record. Lineage: Eukaryota; Viridiplantae; Streptophyta; Magnoliopsida; Lamiales; Oleaceae.